Non-coding RNA from Cherax quadricarinatus, 5616 nucleotides. The record is from RefSeq and is a predicted model, not a curated record. Lineage: Eukaryota; Metazoa; Arthropoda; Malacostraca; Decapoda; Parastacidae.
CAAAAUCAUCUCAAUUUCUGUAAUAUGUUUUCCAUUCUAUAAAAUGAGACCAAGAAAACUAGAAUACAACCAUAAAUGCCAUAUGAAAAUACAAUGCAAAGUCGCUGUUUUAAUCCAAAAACACAAAGUUUUUUUUUUCUCUCAUUACACACUGUGUGCUGCAGGAUUUUUUUUAUACUGAGCACACUGACCACAUAGACCCAUUCUUUCAUAUGUAGGCCUACCAGCUUUCUCUUGCUAGAUUUGAAGGCGCUAGAAUUUAGGCAUUCUAGUAUGUGAAUUACCCUGUGCGUAAGCCGUACUAGUAUGUCGGAAACCCUGAAAGCGUUAAGGUUGCUGCUUGCCAUAACCCCCAAAUCCUUUUCGCAUUCUGUAUGGCUAAGUUCAACAUUAUUAAGCUGGUAGGUGCUAGGGCUAUGAACAUUUCCGAGCUUAAGAACUUUACAUUUAAGUACAUUGAACUGCAUCUGCCACUUUUCUGACCUCGAAUUGAGUUUGUCUGAAGUUCCAAGACAUCAACGUCUGAAUCGAUUAUCCUACCUAUCUUCGUGUCAUUGUCAAAUUUGCUUAUGUCACUAGUAAUUCCCUCGUCAAGGUCAUUUAUAUAUAUUAUAAACAACAUGGGGCCUGAAACUGAUCCCUGUGGAAUGCCACUUGUUACAGAUCCCCACUCAGAUUUACCCCCAUUUAUGCACACACUAUGCUUCCUAUUAGUGAGCCGUGACUUGAUCUAUGACAGCACUUUUUCCCCAAUGCCAUGAGCUUCUACUUUCUUCAACAGUCUCUGAUGUGGUACUCUAUCGAAUGCCUUACUAAAAUCUAAAUAAACAACAUCGAAUUCUUUAUCCUGAUCAACAGCCUCAAAAGCUUUGCUGAAGAAGGUUAAUAAAUUAGUUUGGCAGGAAUGGCCCCUGGUGAAUCCAUGUUUAGUAUCAUUAAUCAAAUUAAGCCUAUUGAGAUGGCUUCUUAUAUUAUCAGCUAUAAUUGACUCUAGUAAUUUGCCUACAAUUGAGGUUAGACUUAUUGGGCGGUAAUUUGAUGGUAACGACUUGUCUCCUGCUUUAAAAAUAGGAAUUACAUUAGCCAUCUUCCACAUAUCAGGCACAAUACCUGUUUGAAGAGAAAUAUUAAAAAUAUUAGUUAAAGGUUCACAGAGUUCCAUUUUGCAUUCCUUAAGAGCCCUUGUAAAGAGCUCAUCAGGACCAGGUGAUUUAUUUGGCUGCAAACGGUCUAUCUGUUUGAUAACCAUUUCGCUAGUGACUGUGAUAUUACAUAAUUUAAAUUCUUCAGGCCCACUAAAAACCUAGAGAAAAUAAUUAUUAAAAAUAGAGCACAUUUCAUUCUCUUUGUCAGUUAGAACUCCACAGUUAUUUUUAACCAGUAAACGGUCCAAACGUAUAUAUAUGUUUUUACCGCUAGUGCCCCAAAUGUAUAUAUACGUUUUAUUUUUCCUGCCUUCAAAUAUGGCACAAUUAGCCUGAGAUGCCUUGUCAGCAUGGAAUGGGUCCUAACACUCAGUGUGCACAGCAUUAAAAAAAUCUGGAACCACUUAGUACCUAGUGGGAGCACCAGUUCAAAUGAGUGCCAGCUAGAGCAAACAGCACAGCAAACACCUGGGACUCACUGAUGUCAUGUAGUAUUAACACUCCCAUUUUAAGAGGAAAGUGGUUUUGACCCUGAGUUUAGUGGCUCUGAGGUGGAUGUGGCCACAAGUGAUCAAGGAAAUAUAAAAAAAAACUCGAUAAUAACCCAUGUGCAAUAUUUGUGCAACACCCUUUCAGAAUGUCUUAUAACCUAUGCCCUAAGUAAAGAGAAACAAUUCUGGCUGGCUGGCAGGCUGGCUGGCUGACUGACUGGCUGAUUGGCUGACUGACUGGCUGAUUGGCUGGCUAGCUGGCUGGCCGGCUGGCUGGCCAGCUGCGUAGCUGGCCAACUGCUGGCGGCCUGGCUCGAUCUCCGUUUAUCUGUCUGUAUCUAUGUCUAUCUCUGUCUGUCUCUGUCUUUGUCUCUGUGUAUCUGUCUCUGUCUAUCUCUUUCUAUCUGUCUGUCUAUCUCUGUCUCACAGGUGCACAUAAAUACAAGUAUACAUAGUGUAAAUUACCUAGGAUAACCCAAAAAAUCCAGACAAAGUGCUAUACUCUGCUUGAAGAUAUGAGUAAAAGUGAUGACACAGUCUUGUGGCUCUCUCUGAGACAGAGAGCUAGAUGGAUAGACAGGGAGCUUGACAGACAGACAAAUAGACAGACAUGUUUGUGUACCAGCGAAAACUAAGGGAGGCCCUAAUCUUUUCUUAUCAACUCUUAUCACUGCACCCUUGCGAAUGCUCAUCAAAUGUCAGCUCUUAUCAAAUGUUAUCUCAUCUUUUCACGUCACUGUCAGGGGUGGACUUUGUUUUUCAUGCUUCAAGGGAACAUUAUUUAUCCUCCUCAUCCUCCUCAUCCUCCUCAUCCUCCUCAUCCUCCCUCCCUCCCUCCCUCUUCUAUACUUCCACAUAUCCAAAACAUUGCUGGGACCUAUAAAUACUUUGUAUAUAUUCCAAGACAAUAGUAAAUGACCAAGGCAGGUGUAAAUGUCCACCUGUCAAUGUGUUUGUGACAAUGCGAGUACGAUUUCAGUACCUAAUACAGUGGACCCCCGGUUAACGAACUUUUGUCAUUCCAGUAGUAUGUUCAGGUGCCAGUACUGACCGAAUUUUUUCCCAUAAGGAAUAUUGUGAAGUAGAUUAGUCCAUUUCAGACCCCCAAACAUACACGUACAAACGCACUUACAUAAAUACACUUACAUAAUUGGUCGCAUUUGGAGGUGAUCGUUAAGCGGGGGUCCACUGUACUAGUGUCAGAACAAAGAUUGGUUAUGAAAUGACAAGAGCUACUCUAAAAUGUAAUUAUCAGAACAUGAAAGUUAUAUAAAAUAACAUGAAAAAUAGAAAAAAAGGUAUAUCGGCAACACUUCUGCAAGCAGCAGGACUCGAUGUUACUGUCACGUGAGCAUCCAUUGCCAACUUCUGGGCCUCAUAUCUGGGUAAAUACUGACCCUAAAUUUUUUGUUUCAUCCUAUAACACUUGGAUAAAUGUGUUCUUUUUUUCAUUAAAAAAAAAUGAUUUUUUUUAUUUUUCAAAAUAUUUGGGGCCCUGGAGUAGUGAAUGUAUAUAUACGUUUGGACCGUUUACGGGUUAAGGGGCCUAUCUUAUCUCAAACUUUUGUUCUAUACACCUGGAAAAUACUUUUAGGGUUAGAUUUCGAAUCCCUAGCAACUUAAAUUUCGUAGUCCCAUUUAGCUUUUCUUAUUCCCUUUUUAACAUCCCUCUUAAUGUCAAUGUACUGAUUCAUAAGAAGACCCUUGCCUCUUUUGAUAUGCCUAUAAAUGCCUUUCUUCUGCCCUAAAAGAUAUUUGAGCCUAUUAUUCAUCCAUUUAGGGUCAUAUCUAUUCGAUCUAAUUUCUUUAUGCGGGAUAAAUGUUGUAAUAAAGUUGGUAGAAUUACCGACAAUAUGUAAAGUAAAAGGACACAAGUGCAACAAAUGUGACAUUUUACUGUGGCAACGUUUCGCUCUCCAGGAGCUUUAUCAAGCCAUUACAAACAAACUAAGCAGUUGGACGUGACUUCCCUCUUCACAAAAGUACCUACCACAAAAGCCAUCGAGGUUCUACGACGUAAAGUCAAUCAGGACCUUAAUCUUCCUCUACCUCCCGGAGAGUUUGUUGACUUGAUUGAACUCUGUAUUAAUUUCAACUGUUUUUCUUUCAAUAACAAGCUCUACAAACAAACCUACGGCAUGGGAAUGGGGUCCCCCAUCAGUGCCGUCCUAGCCAACUUAUACAUGGAACACCUAGAGACCGAACACUUCGCCAACAUCAUCCCUUCAAGCGUCAUUUGGUCACGUUACGUGGACAACGUCCUCAUAAUAACUCCCAAACGUUUUGUUGUACGGAAUCUUCAGGCAAGGCUCAACGCAGUUGAACUGGCGAUCCAGUUUACAUUAGAAGAAGAGUCCAAUGACAAGCUACCUUUCCUCGACGUCCUCAUUCACAAAGUAGACAACAACCUAAGAUUUCAAGUUUAUCGGAAACCUACCAGUAAAAAUGAUCUCACACUUCUAUUUCAGUCAAGAUACCAAGACCAAAAGAGGCAUCAUCAUCGGGUUUUUCCUAAGAGCAUACCGAAUUUGUAGUCCUGAGUUUCUUGACGAGGAAUGUACAUACAUUCACCAAACAUUCACUGAGUUACAUUUUCCUUCCUUUUUCAUCAAAGACUGCAAGAAAAGAGCCCUUCAGAUCAUUAAUUCUCCACGCACCAACAGCACUCCCAACAAAGUUAUAAUUCUUCCCAACAGCCAGGUUGCACUGAACGUUUCUAAAGUACUUUCACAAGCUAACACCAGAGUCGCCAUCGCUUCUAGCACUUCAAUAAAGGAUCUAACCAGGACUAAACCAAAGCACCAUGAACCAGUCAACGCAGGAGUUUACACUAUACCCUGUGGAGGCUGUGACAAGAUUUACAUAGGUGAAACAGCAAGAAACCUCGACACCCGCCUCAAUGAACACAUUUACGCAUGUAGGAACGAUAACUUGAACAACGCCUGUGUACAACACCGAAAUUCCACCAAUCAUCUCAUGAAAUUCAGAGACGCCCAAUUAGUGAUCAAAGAAACUAAUUUCCGCAGACGCAAGUGCCUCGAAUCAGCACUGAUUGCUGUUUCGAAUACAAUUAAACAAAACAACGGCAGCUUCACCAUCUCUGAAGUCUUAGCAAGAAUCCUCCUGAAAACAGUAAACCCUGCCAUCACAUAGUCUCUCCUGUUUUACUACAAGCAUGUUACAGAGAGUGAACACUGAAACAGGCUGCCUCUAUCCAGUCUAUAUUUGUCCAACCUAUUUUUAUGUUACCCAAGUAAUAGCUUUUGUAUCCUUUUACUCAUGUACGAAUUAAUUGCUCUACCAUAUUGUAUUACUACUACUACUACAACUUUUGUCACUACUACUACUACCACUAGAAUUGCAUCUCACUCUGAGCCUAUAUACCCUCUGUGUCCAUGUAUUGUUUGUAAUGGCUUGAUAAAGCUCCUGGAGAGUGAAACGUUGCCGCAAUAAAAUGUCACAUUUGUUGCACUUGGGAUAAAUGUUCUUUGGGCAGCAUGUAUAGUGUUCAGAAAACUCAUAUUGAUAGCUCUCUUCAUUACCCCAGUUCACAGAUGACAAGUGAUCUCUAAGCCCAUUGUAAUCUGCUAAGCGAAACUCUGGGACCGUUACUGAGUUAUUCCUGCUAUCAUACUUCCAUUCAGUGCUAAAGUCAACGUGUGGAGCUAUUCGACGAGAGAAAGAACUUGAGCUGGAGGUUGUGACGGGUCGUGUGCAUGGCUGGGAUGGCGGAGACACCCUGGCCACCCUCGGGGAGGUGAUACGGAUGGGAUCGGUAGCGUUCCUGCCAGAUCAUCGGGAUCGAUAUUUGAUCCUUUUUCCCACUGUGUUGGUCAUGUUGUCUGUCUCUCCUAGAAUGAGUGCCUUUAUCUUUGAGGGAAGUUACCCAUUAAGCAGUAUACAUGUAAGCAAGCUGGAGGACAAUGAUCAACACAAAAAUGCCUUUGAAAUUUCAGGUGUGUAAAUUAUAUUGUUUGUGC